Molecule: ribosomal RNA, 465 nt
Filed under: uncultured Klebsiella sp.
Lineage: Bacteria; Pseudomonadati; Pseudomonadota; Gammaproteobacteria; Enterobacterales; Enterobacteriaceae
Description: bacterial SSU rRNA
Rfam family: Bacterial small subunit ribosomal RNA
Source: RNAcentral
CCUACGGGUGGCUGCAGUGGGGAAUAUUGCACAAUGGGCGCAAGCCUGAUGCAGCCAUGCCGCGUGUGCGAAGAAGGCCUUCGGGUUGUAAAGCACUUUCAGCGGGGAGGAAGGCGGUGAGGUUAAUAACCUCAUCGAUUGACGUUACCCGCAGAAGAAGCACCGGCUAACUCCGUGCCAGCAGCCGCGGUAAUACGGAGGGUGCAAGCGUUAAUCGGAAUUACUGGGCGUAAAGCGCACGCAGGCGGUCUGUCAAGUCGGAUGUGAAAUCCCCGGGCUCAACCUGGGAACUGCAUUCGAAACUGGCAGGCUAGAGUCUUGUAGAGGGGGGUAGAAUUCCAGGUGUAGCGGUGAAAUGCGUAGAGAUCUGGAGGAAUACCGGUGGCGAAGGCGGCCCCCUGGACAAGGACUGACGCUCAGGUGCGAAAGCGUGGGGAGCAAACAGGAUUAGAUACCCCAGUAGUC